GACGAACGCUGGCGGCGUGCUUAACACAUGCAAGUCGAACGGAAAGGCCCUGCUUUUGUGGGGUGCUCGAGUGGCGAACGGGUGAGUAACACGUGAGUAACCUGCCCUUGACUUUGGGAUAACUUCAGGAAACUGGGGCUAAUACCGGAUAGGAGCUCCUGCUGCAUGGUGGGGGUUGGAAGGUUUCGGCGGUUGGGGAUGGACUCGCGGCUUAUCAGCUUGUUGGUGGGGUAGUGGCUUACUAAGGCUUUGACGGGUAGCCGGCCUGAGAGGGUGACCGGCCACAUUGGGACUGAGAUACGGCCCAGACUCCUACGGGAGGCAGCAGUGGGGAAUAUUGCACAAUGGGCGGAAGCCUGAUGCAGCAACGCCGCGUGCGGGAUGACGGCCUUCGGGUUGUAAACCGCUUUCGCCUGUGACGAAGCGUGAGUGACGGUAAUGGGUAAAGAAGCACCGGCUAACUACGUG
This 468-nucleotide ribosomal RNA is filed under the name uncultured bacterium. RNAcentral describes it as "partial 16S ribosomal RNA". It matches the Rfam family "Bacterial small subunit ribosomal RNA", at positions 28 to 507 of the family's 1533-position model. The record is from RNAcentral.